GGCAUUAGAAGAGUUGAAACGAUUCUGCUAAUCUGCAAGGCUUGGAAGUGUUAUGAAGUAUUUCUUUGAUUAAAACCAGACGGACUCUUUAGAUGCUCGGAGAGGACACAAAUGCUGAAGGAGAAAAUGACGCAGGAGGGCAGCAGGAAGUUCAUCAAGACCUUCAUUUUUGUGUGCAAUUUCCAACACAGUUUUAAUGGAGUCUCUGAUGAAUUCUGUUUUCAGUGAGUUCUCUGUGUGGACAAAAUGCCACUUCCUUGUGUAAGAAACUUAAUACAGAAGCG
This is a long non-coding RNA of Gallus gallus (chicken), 284 nucleotides long. Lineage: Eukaryota; Metazoa; Chordata; Aves; Galliformes; Phasianidae. The record is from Ensembl.